GAUCCUGGCUCAGGAUGAACGCUGGCGGUAUGCUUAACACAUGCAAGUCGAACGAGGGUAGCAAUACCCUAGUGGCGGACGGGUGAGUAACGCGUAAGAAUCUACCUCUAGGUUCGGGAUAACAGAGGGAAACUUCUGCUAAUACCGGAUGUGCCGCAAGGUGAAAGAUUUAUCGCCUGGAGAUGAGCUUGCGUCAGAUUAGCUAGUUGGUGAGGUAAUGGCUCACCAAGGCGACGAUCUGUAGCUGGUCUGAGAGGACGAUCAGCCACACUGGAACUGAGACACGGUCCAGACUCCUACGGGAGGCAGCAGUGGGGAAUUUUCCGCAAUGGGCGAAAGCCUGACGGAGCAAUACCGCGUGAGGGAGGAAGGCUCUUGGGUCGUAAACCUCUUUUCUCAAGGAAGAUGAUGACGGUACUUGAGGAAUAAGCAUCGGCUAACUCCGUGCCAGCAGCCGCGGUAAUACGGAGGAUGCAAGCGUUAUCCGGAAUGAUUGGGCGUAAAGGGUCCGCAGGUGGAAUUUCAAGUCUGCUGUCAAAGCGUGAAGCUUAACUUCAUAAAGGCAGUGGAAACUGAGAAUCUAGAGUACGUUCGGGGCAGAGGGAAUUCCCAGUGUAGCGGUGAAAUGCGUAGAGAUUGGGAAGAACACCAGUGGCGAAAGCGCUCUGCUAGGCCUGUACUGACACUGAGGGACGAAAGCUAGGGGAGCGAAUGGGAUUAGAUACCCCAGUAGUCCUAGCCGUAAACGAUGGAUACUAGGCGUUGUCUGUAUCGACCCGGACAUUGCCGUAGCUAACGCGUUAAGUAUCCCGCCUGGGGAGUACGCACGCAAGUGUGAAACUCAAAGGAAUUGACGGGGGCCCGCACAAGCGGUGGAGUAUG
This 882-nucleotide ribosomal RNA is filed under the name uncultured bacterium. RNAcentral describes it as "bacterial SSU rRNA". It matches the Rfam family "Bacterial small subunit ribosomal RNA", at positions 15 to 941 of the family's 1533-position model. The record is from RNAcentral.